This 225-nucleotide ribosomal RNA is filed under the name Mesorhizobium sp. RNAcentral's name for it is "partial 23S ribosomal RNA". It matches the Rfam family "Bacterial large subunit ribosomal RNA", at positions 2651 to 2871 of the family's 2925-position model. The record is from RNAcentral. Lineage: Bacteria; Pseudomonadati; Pseudomonadota; Alphaproteobacteria; Hyphomicrobiales; Phyllobacteriaceae.
GCGCUGCAGAUUUGAGGAAGCCUGCUCCUAGUACGAGAGGACCGGAGUGGACGCACCUCUGGUGUAUCGGUUGUCACGCCAGUGGCAUUGCCGAGUAGCUAAGUGUGGAAGAGAUAACCGCUGAAAGCAUCUAAGCGGGAAACUCGUUUCAAGAUGAGAUCUGCCGGGGCCUUGAGCCCCCUGAAGAGUCGUUCGAGACCAGGACGUUGAUAGGCUGGGUGUGGA